This 12303-nucleotide long non-coding RNA is filed under the name Homo sapiens (human). Its description in RNAcentral is "HSALNT0120561". Lineage: Eukaryota; Metazoa; Chordata; Mammalia; Primates; Hominidae. The record is from RNAcentral.
UCAACAACAACAACAACAACAAAAAAAAAAACAAAACACCUAAGUCAGAUCAUGCCACUGUCUUCUAGAACCCUCCAGGGACAACCUAUCUCAGUGUAAAAGCCAAAGUCCUUAGGGCGGCCUACGAGGCCCUCCAUGAUCCGCCUCCUCCUCCCUGCCAGUCCUAUUUACCCCUUUCUCACUCUACUGGCCUUGUUUCUGUUCCUGGAACACACCAGGUACACUCUCGCAUUGGGACUCUGCAGCUGCGGUUCCUUCUGUCUGGAAUGUACUUUCUCCAAAUAUCUGCAUGGCUGGCUCCCUCACCAUCAAGUGUCACCUUCUCAGUAAAGCCUUCUCUGACCACUAAACUUAACACUCAGACCCCCUUACCCCCAGCAUUUCCUGUCUCCCUUCCUGCUUUAUUUUUCUCCAUAGAACUUAUCACCCUCUAAUAUACCAUAUAAAUUAAUAAUUAGAUAUAAUUAUAUAUAUAAGAUACACAUUUAUAUAUACAAAUUAUAUAUAGUUCCUUUGGUUUAUUGUCUGUCUGUAUUUAGAAAUUCCACAAGGUCCAGAAUUUUUGUCUGUUUUGUUCAUUGCAGUAUCUCUAAAAUCUGGAACAUGGUAAAUAAUAAGUACAUAUGGAAUGAAGUAUUGGUGUGUGCACGGUGUGUGUGUGGGGUGUGUGUGUGUGCCUGUGUGUGUACGUGCUGGGUUUCAUAGUGUAGGUCACAUUCCAAAAGGCUUGUAUGAUACCGCCUUGGAGCAUACUUGGACUACCUCUGGGCUUACUAAGAGUGAAGACUGAAAAGCAAUUACGGUACAGACACCCAACAGUCCUCAUGUCUUACAGGCUGGGUGCCUGGAACAAAUGAUGCCACUGGUAAUUGCUAUUUGAAAUAUGUGUAUAUGUGAGUGUAACUGAUUUACACACAAGAGGGUUGUUCCCUUGGGGGACCACCAAGGCACCAUAAAUUGGCAAGAGGAAACAGGCAGAUCAGAAAAAUCAUAAAAUUUUAAGACCCUCAGAGAUGAUCUGGGCCAAACUAAUAAUUCUACACAUAAGCAUCAAAGUCACAAAAUGAUAACAUAAUUUGCCCCUGGACACACAAAAAGUAAAUGCUGAGAAAGAACUACCAUAGACUUAGGUCACGUGACCCCUCAUCCAGUGAUCUUUACGCACCCUGGCCCAUCACAAAACUGAAAAACAGGAAUCUGCUCUCCAAAACCCUCUGCCUGUUCCCUUUUCCUUGGGAAUAACCUGAAAUUAUUUCUCCAAUUAGGCACCAAUACAUUUAUUCCACUGGACUUGACCGUUUGUAGGAAUCUCUGUUUUAAAAACAAAGAACUGCUAAUGAUCACUAUUUCUCAUAAAUGAAAGCCUUAAAAAUUCCCUCCCAUAGCAAGCGGCAGUGGGCUGAAUCAUCUACUAUUAUUCCCUGCCUUUCUAAUAAUAUAGUUCCAACUUACAUCAGGCGCAGGGAUGUUAAAGCCUGUCAAGAAUCAAAACCUUCAACCCUCACUGUCCUACUUCUCAUUAGAGCUAAAGACUCUAUCCAGUUUUAAAUUAAUGGAUUUAUAUUUUUUUCAUAACCAUAAAACAAAGUGCUUCAAACCAUAAAGCACUAACAAGUGAAAACAACAUAUGAGUUGUCAGUCAUCUUAAUGUAGUAGGUUAGCAGAACAUUUUUUUCAGGGAGUGAUAUUAUUACUAAGUGAAUAGUUGCACUAAUUGCUUGGCUCUCAACUAAGACUAUAAUAAGCUUUUUGACUAUGAGAGGCCAUGCGUCUUGGAAUUCUCAGUGUUUUGUUGGUGGCCUUAGAGACUCUAAGGGCUGAGGACAUUCAUGACAUAAUUGUGGCGGAUGUUCUUGGUUCCCUCUUCCCCCUUAACAGAACCCUGUUCCGUUCAGGCCUCCUCACCCCUUCAGGAGAGGCUGGACCAUCUGCACUCCAGGAAGGGGGUCACAACUGGACUAAGUACAUCCAGGGAAUCCUAUUCCCUUGCCAGUGAUUGGUUCACACCUAAGCAUAUGACAAAGCUGUAGCCAAUGAGGCAAGGGGAACUUUGCUGGGGGGUGGGGGUGGGGCAGGUGUGUCUGAGAAAGUCUUUUUUAUCUUCCACAGGGUGAGGAGGAAGAGAUUUCCCCUUCUCUGUUUCAGAUAUGAUCCCAGGGGACUGCUAUUGUCAUCUUGACCCUGUAAAGACAGUGAGGCUGAGGACAAGGCCCCCCGACCAAGAGGGCAGCGCUAAGAGAAGGAGACAGAGCCAGAUACUGCAGUGUCUACAACCACGGUACCUCAGCACUUUGUUUUAGAGUUUUCUGUAUUUGCGGUGAAACGUCCUAAUCCUUACAAUAAUUGCAUCCUGGAAUGGUCUGGUCAGGAUGUGAGGAGGUGUGAAUGUGUUAUAUGUGUUGGUGUUAGCAUGAGAAAAGUUUGAGUGAACAGCAGGUCCCAGGAACAGUGAGUCUUUUGUUAGAGAUGGCUUAGCCCGUGACAUUAGAAAGCAGGAGGAGCAAAGUCUAAAAUCUGAUAUGUCAGGGGAACCGCAGAGGCCAGCGCAAGGCACAAUAUCAUCCCCACGUGUGCUGCUGUCAUAGGGUGCCCAGGGUGGCCAGAUUUCACCUGAGGGAAGACACAGAACAACAGAGUCACUGUAGCCCGUGCCCACUUCCUCUAGGGGUUGCCAGGAAAACACUCUGAAUGAGACCUUAAGGAAGAAGUUCUAGUACUUGCUUUGUCUUCACACUCCCGUGAAGGGGCAUUUAUUUGUAUUUUGUGGGGGUGCCUGUCUCAGGUGUCCUAUGGGAAAAAGGAGGAAAGGCCAUGAACAACUUGAAGGGGAGCCAGCCAUCCUAUACAUUCACGCAGGCCAUUGGAUACUGAAGCCUGCCCAAAAAGUGGCUACCCAGGGACUCAGUUCCCCAAAGACGUCUGUCUUUAGCUUCAUUAAUUCCAUGACAGGGCCAAUCUUCCUCCAAUUAACAGAAAGUUUAUCUACCUAGAGGAGUCUCUAUACUUGGGAGGAAGAAGAGGACUUUUGCAACAACCUGGCACUCAAAACCAGCAAGUAUUAAAAAAUGUUCAUUGACUAGGUUCCUUACAGUGAACAAUACAUGGUUCUAGAAAAUUUACUAUUUAUAAUCACUCAUAUUUUCCAUGUGAUCUGAUCAAAUGCAUUUUUUCUUUACUUGUGUGGGGUAAAAGUAAAUACUGUCAGAACCUCUGUGACAGCUACAAGCGUGUAAAAUUUAAGUCUUUCUAACAAAGUCUUUGUAGUACAAUACCGUGAUCUGUUGUGAUCAAAGGGUGUCGGUUCUUUGAUUAGAAACAACAAAAGAGCCAGCAGAUGAUAUCCUUGGAAACGUCUGUACAAGCAUCCAUCUAAGUGGGGGCAUAUGGAGGCAGCCACAGACACAUCACUGUGCGAAUAAUACUCAGGAGCAUCAGGCACACAGUAGAGAAACUUGCUUCCUGGAUGACUCACACUCUACUUCGAGGCCAUAGAGUUGUGGCCAGAGUUUAAAAAGCUGGAUAAAAAGCUAAUUAACUAGUCAUAAGAAAUGCACUAAUUGCUUUGUCCAGCAUUAGCAGAGGGGACCUACUGCUCUCCCUCAUUCUUCAGUGAGAAGGAGGGUGCCAUGGCCUUUUGGGGAUACUGGGGAAGGGAGGCAUUUAUCUAGUGGAGGCUGAACUAACCAGCCCUAGAGAGCAAGUCUCUAUGGAACUAUCUGAGAAGGUCAGGGGCUGGCUGCAGAAAAAGAUGAAUGUGGAAAUGAAAAGGGGAAGAGAAGGGGCACCCCCAUGUAUUGAGCAAGUUAUCAGUGAGUAGGGAUUGAAAUGCCUCCCAUCUGAUUGCAAGCAUCCUGUCCAGGAAGGCCUUAACCUAUGGGUUUGUAUUUUCUGUUUGCUCACGUUAUGACUGAUUCACCUUCUCUUUCUUACAAUAUCAAUUUCUAUGCUUUCUUAAAGUAAUGGCUUUAUUGAGCUAUAAAUCGCACACCCUACAAUUUACCUGUUUAAAAGCAAACAAUUCAAUGACUUUUAGUUUAUUCACAGAUAUGUGUAACUAUUAAGUAUUACCACAAUCAAAUUUAGAACAAUUUCGUUACCACAAAAAGAACUCAUACCUAUUAGCAGUCACUCCCCAUUUCACUCCAAACCUCUCAGCCGCAGGGGACAACUCAUCUACUUUCUGUCUCUAGGAUUUGCCUAUCUUGAGUGUUCCAUAUGCGUGGAAUCAUAUAGUAUGCAGUCUUUCACUUCUUUCACUUAACAUACUGUUUUCCAGGCUCAUCCCUGGUGUAGCAUGUAUACAGCAUCGCUUUUUGAGAAUCUCCCUGUGGCUCUCCAUGUUGAACUCUAGCUUUACUACUUAUGUUUCUUCAGUGUUCACUAUUCACUCCUGAAAUGUGCUUGUGAACCACAAAUCAAGGUAAAAAGUCCUGAUUCAGAUAAAUUCAUGUGAUUCUGCUCAGAGUCUCCUGUUGCAAGUACAUGCAAAUAAGUUAAAAAAAAAAUUUCUAGGCCAGGCGCGGUGGCUCACACUUGUAAUCCCAGCACUCUGGGAGGCCGAUGCAGGUGGAUCACGAGGUCAGGAGUUUGAGACCAGCCUGGCCAACAUGGUGAAACCUUGUCUCUACUAAAAAUACAAAAAUUAGCUGGGUGUGGUGGCACGCACCUGUAAUCCCAGCUACUCAGGAGGCUGAGGCAGGAGAAAUCCUUGAACCCAGGAAGCGCAGGGUGCAGUGAGCUAAGAUCAUGCCACUGCACUCCAGCCUGGGCGAUAGAGUUUUUUCCAUCUUGGGGGAAAAAAAUUUUUUUCUAAAAGUUACUGAAGGCCUGUGACUAAUGUGAACUGGUGACAGGGUCCUUGCAGAACUGAUUUACAAACAAGAGAUAAAGGAGGGAAGGGGCUACAGUUGCACUCCUAUGACAGUAACUGAGUGCUUGUAUAUGUCAGACACUGUGCUAGGCACUGGAGAUCCAGCAGUGAACAAAACAAAAAUAGCUGCCCUUGUGAAGCCGGUAUUUUAGUGAUACAUGAUAAAAUUAUUUUAAAAAGAAAAGCAAGGGAAUAAGGUGAAAAUUCAGAGUAGUGGUUACCUUUGGAAGGAGGGAAUGAAAUAUGAUGGGGAAGGAAAGAGAGAGGAAUACAGAGGAAGACACAAGGCUAGGUAAUGUUCCUAAAUUGGGUGGUGGCUUUCCUAAUAAUUAUGUGGCUACGCUAUUACUGAUUUUUUUUGUAUAUAUUGCAUCUUACGUAAAAUGUGUAUAAUUUUUUUUUACAUAAUAAAGAACCAUUCCUCUAGAUGGGAAAGUAUAAACAGUGGUGUUCCUUGGAUUGACUGAGCUAAUUUAAAAUGUUGGGACUGCAGGAUGCAUAUUGGAGCUUUACAUAGAGUAGAGAAACUCUAAGUUGGCACGAUUACACUCCAAGGAUUUGAAAGGCUGAUGAAGAAAAGCAAGGUAAGGUAUUUAGGAGAAACUUUUCCAGUUACCUUAGAAGAUCACGAGUUCUGAGUGGUCACUUACCACUCAGGAAAGGAACCUGUGGUGCAUCUUAUUAGAAUAUGAGCUUUAUGAGAUCAGGGAUUUUUAGGUUUUGUUCACAAAUUUUCAAGUUUUUUCACAGCCAUUCACACAUUCGAUUCUAACAACUAGUAUUAUUAGCCCAUUUUACGGAUAAGAAAAUAGAAACUCUGAGAGCUAUUUGGUGCUGGUGUUUGGACCAGAUCCCCAGCUUCCUAGAGCUUAUAACACAACGCCACCCUUGGACUGUGUGGUUCCAAUGAACCCACAUUAAUUCAUGAAACCCAAAAAUGGAUGCUAAAAAUAAGUUUCAGAGAGUUAAAUUUAAAGCAAUAGGAAGAAACACCAAUUCGCUCUAUAGGUAGAAAAUGGCUGAAACUCAUUCCUGUAAGAAGGAGCACAAGCUGAAACUACAGAUGGAUUCAGACAUGUUUACAUUAACUCCUGAAUGACAGAUUUACACUCAGCUAUUUAUGAAAAGUAAGAUGUCUGCAGGGCAUUUCCUCCCUGAAAGGCUGUUGUGCAUUUUUACAAAAUACCCUUACUGCUAUUACUUUAGAAUGCGGAACCAAAUAAGUACUGUGGCAAUUACUAUGUUCUUAACCCAGAUGACAUCGUUUAACUCAAAAUCAUGUCUUACAUGUGUAAUUGCCUAGGAUUUGCUGUGAUUCUAUUUCUAAUCUUAAUCUGAUAUUAAUUAUUUCAGGAGAGUUUACAAAGCUUCUGUCAAUUGCUUUUUCCACUGAAGAAUUCAUAUUCCGAAAAAAGGCAUGUGGAUUAGUUUGGCUGCUUAAAGCAAGCAUAGGACUCGGGCUCUCCUGAGACCAAAGUUCAACCCUAGGGCAUAUUAACAUCACAGAGAACAAAAACUUCUGUGCCCUGGUCACCGGGAGUACCUUCAACCCUAGGCAUUGAUCAUGAGGCAGAUCCAGAGAGGAUAUUUGGCUAGAGCUAACCAGGACCCCAACCAGAAAUUAACAACUCAAAGGGUACCUACUGAAAGAGAAUAGUGCUCUCUGUGUAUAUGAAAAUCAGCAAAAAUAGUAUUAUUUACCAAAUAAGUAUGGUUUACUGGAUCUCACUGUCUCUGAGGACAAGCACUGUAAAACAAAAUGGUUAUUUUUUUGUAAUAAAGAGAAUUUGAAUGAGCAACUUAAAUCAAUAUUAGGCAGCCAAAUUAUGUGUAUUAAUAUCUACAUAUCAUUAGCAUAAUCCCAAGUGAAUUAUUUCAUUACUAAAAGUAAUGCUAGAACUGACUUUUCAUUUCCCUUGAUAUUAACUUAUAUACGAUAUAAAUUUGACUGGAAAUAAUUGGAACCUAAUCCACUUCCACUUUCUGUGUAUACAUAUAUACACACACAUACAGAAAUACAGAUAUGUGUGGAUGUGUAUGUAAACCCACAUACUUAUCCAUGGCAGGACAUCACGGUACAAAGGCUAUGAGGCAAGAGUUUUCUACACACACACACACACACACACACACACACACACACACACACACACACAGAGAGAGAGAAAAACGUGUGCUUUGUUUCCUCAGCUUCUCUUUCCAACUUCAUAGCAUUGCAGGCUUUCUUUGGAAGGAGGCGUAUACAUAAAUCUAACAAAAAUACAUGAAGUCUAGAAUUAAACUGAAGCCCAAACAAAACAAAACACAAAAUCUGUCUAAACAAGAAUGUGACAAAUGUCCCAACCUGUUCCUCUUUAUAGAACUUCACUUGAAAGUCACUAUAAAGAUUCAGAAAAAUUAAGGACAUCUCUCAAUGUCUGGGACUAAAACCAAACAGGGACCUGAGAAUCAGGGCUGAGUUGCCUUGGUAAGUUUCUGCCUUGGUGAAUGGAGGAUAAGUAGACAGGGCUACAGGAGCCACUGAGCAGUGCAUCAGCAGGUUUUGUAUGGCAGAUUCUGCGAUCAAGGUUAGAACAUUCUCACUGGAGUCAUCCAGACCACAGCUGUCCAAUACAAAUAUAAUGUAAGCCACGCAUGUAACUUCAAAUAUUCUAGUAGUUACCUUAAACACAUUUUUAAAAAACAGGUAAAAUUAAUUUUGUAAAUAUAUUAUAUUUAGCUUAAUAGAUCCUUUUUUUUUUUUUUUUUUUUUUUUUGAGACGGAGUUUCACUCAUGUUGCCCAGGCUGGAAUGCAAUGGCGCAAUCUCUGCUCACUACAACCUCUUUCUCCCGGAUUCAAGCGAUUCUUGUGCCUCAGCCUCCUGAAUAGCUGGGAUUACAGGUAUGCGCCACCAUGCCCAGCUACUUUUUGUAUUUUUAGUAGAGACCAGGUUUCACCAUGAUGGUCAGGCUGAUCUCAAACUCCUGACCUCAGGUGAUCCACCCGCCUUGGCCUCCCAAAGUGCUGGGAUUACAGGCGUGAGCCACCGUGCCAGGCCUAGAUCCAAAAUAUUAUCACCUAAACAUAUAUUCAAUAUUUCAAAGGUUAUGAGUCAGAUAUUUUAUAUUUUUUGGCUUUGUACUAAGCGUUUGAACUCUAGUGUGAAUUUUACACUUGUAGCACAUCUCAAUUCAGACUAGCCAUGUUUCAACGGCUCAGUAACCACAUGUGGCUGUCACACUGGACUGUGCAGGUCUAGGUCUUGAGAAUCAGGCCCUUAGAGGUCAAUGGCACACCCCAGCCUCUGACACAUGCUGCAGGAGAUCUACUGCAACAGCCACGCUCCCUGCUUCCCAUUUCUUUGCUGUCCCAACAGUCUCUUGGGCUUAUUUCAUGGAAGCAACAUCAUGUAAGAAAAAGCAUUUCACAUUGCUAAUAUGGCAUUAUGUGAAGUAAUAAGGAAGCGCUAGGUUUCACUUCCUUGAAAAGGACAAUACCCAGCCAGUACUGAGGGUGCAGAGGGCAAUGAUGGGGCCCGAUAAAAUCCAGGAACUGGGCCUCCGAUGAGAAAAGAAUUGCAUAAGGUUAUCACCCAAGUGCUUCUGUGAUUCAUAUUGCCCUAAAUCAAUGAUCUAAGUUAUGUCAAUAAAUAAUAAGCCACCAUGUCACAGUCUUUUGGUUAUUAUAGUUUCUGAAUCCAAUGGCCUCAACAUUCACCUCUUUCUUGACAGUUAACUUGACACUUUAAAGACACCUUCCACCUUCCCAUUUUGUUGCACUUGAGGAUGGUAACAGAAGUUCAAGGAGAACUGUUUCCUUUUCUUAGAAACUGUCAUAUUCCUGCAUCUUAUUUGCAUGCAUUUCCCCCCAAUUAAAUGUGCUGAAAAUUCCAAAAGCUAACUUUAUUUUCUAAAAACCAAUGCAUUUGCUUUGCCCUGAUGUGGGCUUUUUGUAGAAGUAAAAAUCCUUCUAGCUAGCUGCUGAUGGCCAGGUUGGUAGAAAAUCUCUUUUAAAUAACACGGCUUGUAUAUGCCACUAGCAACCUCAGUCCACACAUUCACAGUUUUCCUUACGAUGUCUUUAAAGGAGAUUCAAUGGUAAGAUCCAAACUUUUUGAACAUGGGCACUUUUUCCUCUUUGAGGGUGAAAUCAGAACUCACUGUGGGUUUAUUUGAAAAAGAAAUUGAGUUGCCAUUAGGGAAACAACAAACCACUUUUUAAAUAAAGCUUGAAUCAUACCUCAGGACUACAGAGUUUAUAAACAUUUUCAAUUACCCUCCCCAAUAUCAUCCUCCAGCUGUCAUUCCACAGUUUCCCUCGGGGUCAUAAAGAAAUUACUUUUUUAAAAAGUCAAUUUGCAAAAUUAGUAAAAGAUAACCUAAACAGCACAAGCAGCACACACAGCAAUGGGAGCGCUCUGGAUCAGAUUUUCUCUUUUUAGCUUGUUGAUUUUACAUUAGUUUUGUCUCUGUCUUAGAGAAUUUCCUGUAAAAAAUGAUAAAAAUGUUUUGUGUCUGUGUAGUCCAAUAUGGUAGCCACUGGCCAUGUGUGCUAUUGAGCACUAGAAAGAUGCCUAGGGUAACUGAGGAACUGAAUAUUUUUACACUUAAAUUUAAAUAGCCACAUGUGACUAAUGGUUACCAUACUGGACAACACAGCUAUACACAGGGCAGACCUAAGCCACUUAAAUCUUUGUGCCUUUAUGGGUACAACAGCCUGGAGAUCUGAGGCCCAUUUAAAAUAUAAAGCGCUUUAUGACUUCUUUUUUGAAAGUAUUAAGUAAUUAAAUAGAGCAGCCUCUAUGAGGCCAGAGAGAAAAAAAAAAAAGUCUACAAGAAAUUCUCUAAGGAUGAUGCUACUCUUUAGGAUGAGCCAGGAAGUGGGUGGGGGGAGCAUUAAUGUCACAGGAGCUUGGGUCCUAGAUGACAGUUCCAGCUCUAGCUCUGCUGUCAAGUAACUGAGUGGCAUGAGACAGUUUCUGAGUUCCUUGGGCUCUGAUUUUCUUAUACAAUGUUGGAAUCUGUGAAACAACUACCAAGGUUCCUCCUUGCUCUCAGUCUAGUCAGUCCAGCUCUUAUUUCUUAGGAGAUUAAAACUACUGGUUGAUUUAAAAUAAUACUUUACACUGCAGUACAAACAGGCUGAGGUUGAGUGAUUUUGACAGGCCAAACUGUUGAAGCAAAGGAAUGCUAAAAUUAGUCCAAACUAUAGAGACUAUAUUCAGAUUAGUCUCACAAAGGUGUACAAUUAAUUAUAAAUGAGGAGAAAGGCAGGGUAUUUGCACAAACAGCUAGUGGCUGGCCCUCCCAGAAUGCACAGCUGAAAGGUUAGUGGCCAGUUGAUGAUACACUCAUCCCAAUUCUUCAGCUUCAGGCCCCAGAGGACAGCCACCUAGGUUCCAUUGCAGAGCACCCUACCUAUAGGGCCGGCCCAUCUCUGACUGCCGUUUCCUCUAGCCAUGGAGACUUUAAAUGAACCUCUGCAUUUGUUUGUAGCUUGGAGACACAUCAUUGUGUUCUGUCACACCAACCAGCCUGCACCAGAGACACAGGAAUCUUGAUCUUCUGGCAGAAAACUCUUCCAAAACAUUCCUAUGUGACACUGCUCAUGUAUAGGUGCUCCAAACCAAAUGUCCAGUUGCUUCCACCAUUGUGCAAAAAUGGGAGACCCUGCCGAGCAGCAGAUGGCCCUCAGCACGGCUGACACUCAGGCCAGGCCCCAGGUGGCAGCUCUCAGAACACACUGUCCAGCUAAACCCUGCACAGACUGGCCGUUGAAAAUACCUGGUGUUCACAUUCCCCAAAAGUUGGGCAAAUGACAGGGUCACCCAGUGCACUUCAUGGGGUCAGUGGGGAGAACCAGCAUUUCAGCACAAGUUCACAAAUCACUGGGUCCCCCUUGUCAAACACUGCAAAUAUGUAGCAUGCUAAGAAAAAUCUCCUUACCUCUCAGACUCUGUAUCACUCAGUUCAUCUGAGUUGCUACAAUGGACAAUAAAAUCUAAUAAGUUAAAAUGAGGUAUGGAAUGCUCAGGAGAAAAACAACAAGGACUAGUACUCCUCAUCUGAGUAAAUAAUUUCUCUCACAGGGUUAAUUUUAGCUUUGCAAGUUUUUUAUUUGAGAUUAUAUUUUAAAUCACAAUUUGUGCACGUGUGAUUUAAAAUAAAAAAGGCAAUCAAGUCUUUCUGCCAGUCUAGGUGAUGUGAAAUUUAAUUAUCGAGCAGUUAUCAUUAAAAUAAACGCAAAGCAAUUUUUUAGACAUAAUUGAAUAUUCCAGAAGAAAAUUUCUGAAAAAUCCAAAGGUCCAAAAGAAAACUUCUCAGUGAGAAUGUCUGUUUCAGUAAGAUACCCUGUUUUGUAGUAUUGGAUGCAGAGAAUUUCUAGUUAGACAUACAUAAGUCUUGCCAGAAUUACUAUAGUUCAGUUUUGCCACCUGCAUCUAGAAAUAUGGAAGACUUAUCUACGUUACUGGUUUUGACUCCCCAAUAAUGAGUAAUGAAAAUUCCUAUUUAUCAUUUCUACAUCAACAUCAGUGUGAUAGCAGAAAACAGCAUGAUUUACCUGGCCCACAAUACUGUUGUAUAGAAUUUAAAGAAAUAAAUACCUCAAUCCAUUCAGGAAUGUUCUUUUCCCAAUUAAGGUUUUGAAGACUGCACCUAAUACUGACUUGUUAUCUUUUUCUGUUUGCAUUUUAAUUUUAAAAGUCUGUGUCAACUUUAUUUUGAUAAUACAGUGGGUUUACGUUUCCAAAUCUUAACUUCUUAUCCCCAGGGUUCCUUUAAUAUUUAAUGUUUUACCCUUUUCAGUUACUGAGAACAUCUCAUAUCUUCUUUAUUUAUUGAUUUGCUUGGGUUGAUUUUUUUCUUGACUGUGAAAUUAUCCAUUUGGCAAUCAUAUUGCUAAUAUGCAAAAAGUUCUUAUUUUAAUUAUACAAGCAAAUGUAACCCAUGAUUAUUAAGAAGACUAUUUUGCAAAUUGGCCGUUGUUUAUCUCAGAAUAUAACCAAGAACCACAGGCUAAAUUAGAAGCUUAAGGAUAAGAACUUUUUUUUAUUUUUGCAAUUUAAAAUAAUAAAGGUAAUCAAAGCUUCCUGCCAAUCUAGGUGAUUGUGAAAUUUAAUUACCAGUAGUUAUUAAAACAAAGGUAAAGCAAUUUCUUUUACACAUAAUUGAAUAUUCCAGAAGAAAAUUCAUGAAGAGUUCUCAGAAAAUGUAUUUUUAAAUUAAUUGUAACCUGAUUAUUUCAUUUGUUAUGUCUCAGUUGGUACCAUAGAAUAAAUGACACAUUUGGGCGAUGUAGUUUAACAGCAGCUAGUGAGAGCAAAUUCUCAGGAAAAUCAGGCAACUUUGACCUUAAUGCUGAGCAAAUUAUUAGAUCUUUACUCUGCAAACACAAACAUACCUAAAUCUCCCGCAGCUAUUCCUCUAUGAGAGGUAUAACCCAUGUUGACUUCAC